UUGUUGUUCCCAUGAUUGGCUGCUAUUUAUAGUAUACGUGUCAGUGAUGCAGCGCAGUAGAUCUAUUGAGCUUGAUUGAGUUUCACAGGUUCCAAAAAUGGAUCGCUCCACGAAUGUUUCCAUUUUGCUGCUCUCAAUUCUCGUGCUUUGGGAGUGUUACACGUCAUCCCCUAGUCUGGAUCAUAUCUUCCCUUACAUUAGAGUUUCUAACACUUACAGCGAUGUCUAUAUCUCUCUCUCCAAAGUCAUGGCUAUGUUUUUGGCACCUAUAGUUGUUAUACUAUGCUAUUGUCUCUUCUGGAAGAUUGCAAAUGGCUGCGUGUCUCUGAUUGAGAAUUUGGCACUGUUGAGCUGUGCUUGUGUGCUGUGCAGUGGUAGUGGACUACAUAUUGCAUGUGUUACGGCUGAAACUAAUAUUCGUGAUUUGGGAUUGACAGCUGUAGAAUCAUUGAGUGCUCUACUUGACUUUAUUCAUGAGUAUUGGUCGCACAAUUCCAUGUUGUUUGGGUUUUUUGGAAUGAUGCUAUUCAUAACUUGGAAAGAAACAGUUUAUGUAUCGAUUGCAAACUCUGACAAAAAGGACAACGAUGAUGCACAUGAAAAUGCACAUGAAAAUACAACUGAAAGGGGUGGCUACAAUAAAAGUUCUUUGAAACAAAGAAAAUUACAAAAUUCACGAUCUGAUAGUGAGCCAUCCCAUAAUAGUGUGAAUCCCAUUAACAGGCCUAGGCAACUAGGUCUCUUAUAUGGACUCUAUAAUAAUGUGGUGAUACAAUGGAUACUGCCACUGCAAGCUGGACUGUUUUUAUCAGUGUUUUCACGUCGAACCAGUACCGAAAUCAUCACCACUUGUUUCUACGUUGGAAUUCUCGUUAUAAUGACUCUAGCCCGAUCAAAACAUUCUCUUAUGCGAGUGUUUAGAAGCUCGGAGCUCACUGUAUUGAGUGUGAUGGUCAAGAUUGCUUUAGUUGGUCUGCUCACAUUGUGUAUAGAAAUGCUAGGUGUUGCCAACUUGAACUAAAGGCUAAUAAUUUAGAAAUGCUAGGUGUUGCCAACUUGAACUAAAGGCUAAUAAUUAUAUGCUAGUAUGUAACCAAAGAGCCGUAUAUAUAUAAUACUGUACAACAGUGAGUAUUGAUUUUGUUACAGAUAAUAAUUAUACAUGUUUAUUGUUGCAAUGACGUGUCAGUUAAUGUUCA
Long non-coding RNA from Halichondria panicea, 1199 nucleotides. RefSeq lists it as uncharacterized. The transcript is spliced from 2 exons. The record is from RefSeq and is a predicted model, not a curated record. NCBI's taxonomy places the organism in Eukaryota, Metazoa, Porifera, Demospongiae, Suberitida, Halichondriidae.